UAAUGAUCCAAUUGGGUUAAUCAGUCCGC
RNAcentral lists this small RNA (29 nucleotides) under Bombyx mori (domestic silkworm). RNAcentral's name for it is "ovarian small RNA-19738". Lineage: Eukaryota; Metazoa; Arthropoda; Insecta; Lepidoptera; Bombycidae. The record is from RNAcentral.